This is a non-coding RNA of Paramuricea clavata, 349 nucleotides long. The record is from the annotation of a GenBank genome assembly. NCBI's taxonomy places the organism in Eukaryota, Metazoa, Cnidaria, Anthozoa, Malacalcyonacea, Plexauridae.
AAUCUUUUGUCUUUAAAACCAUGUCUAUUUCUUGGGAAAUUCCGAGGUUGCGUUUUUUUUUAUACACCCUGUAUUGUAUUCUUUUGCGAUGGACAAUGCAUUUUACAUAUCAAUGACCACAGACAAUGGAAAUCCACGAUUCUUACGACCAGUGUGAACCAGACAUUACUUAAUUAUACGAAAAUAAAAUGACCUCAAUCACCGUGAGUGUGCACAAAUUAACAAAAACUCAGAUAAAAACAUAACACAGUGACUUGUGUUUAGUUUCCAGACCAUCCUAUUUUGAUAGACUGUGCUUCGCCAAUGUCUCACGCAAAAAGGGCUAUAUAAACAUAGUGAUUUCUAAAAC